GUGGAUGACUUGGCCAGUUAUAUAGGAGGAUUCAGGGCUAGAAGCCAGGAAAACAUACGAAGGGGCCACCUCUAUAGGCUGACCAGCCCUCUUCAUUGGCACUUGUUUCCCAAAAUUGGCACACUCCUCUUCAGUAAACGAAGCUGGAAUCAGUGGUGUCCAAAUUGGACCAGGGGCAACGCCAUUAACACGUAUUCCCCUCGGCACACUCCUCUUCAGUAAACGAGGCUGGAAUCAGUGGUGUCCAAAUUGGACCAGGGGCAACGCCAUUAACACGUAUUCCCCUCUCAACAAGCUGAAGAGCAAGUCCUCUAGUAAAUGAAACUAUUGCACCCUU
RNAcentral lists this long non-coding RNA (337 nucleotides) under Nicotiana benthamiana. Its description in RNAcentral is "long non-coding RNA (NBEN_LNC033534)". Lineage: Eukaryota; Viridiplantae; Streptophyta; Magnoliopsida; Solanales; Solanaceae. The record is from RNAcentral.